GGCUACAUCACGUUGAAACACCGAUUUCCGUACGAUCAUUGAAAUUAAGCAAGGUCGAGCCUGGUCAGUACCUCGAUGGGUAACUGUUUGGGAAUACCAGGUGCUGUAAG
Acanthosepion pharaonis is the source of this 110-nucleotide non-coding RNA. The record is from the annotation of a GenBank genome assembly. NCBI's taxonomy places the organism in Eukaryota, Metazoa, Mollusca, Cephalopoda, Sepiida, Sepiidae.